RNAcentral lists this ribosomal RNA (503 nucleotides) under uncultured bacterium. Its description in RNAcentral is "partial 16S ribosomal RNA". It matches the Rfam family "Bacterial small subunit ribosomal RNA", at positions 30 to 523 of the family's 1533-position model. The record is from RNAcentral.
AUUGAACGCUGGCGGCAGGCUUAACACAUGCAAGUCGAGCGGGGUGAUGGUGCUUGCACUAUCACUUAGCGGCGGACGGGUGAGUAAUGCUUAGGAAUCUGCCUAUUAGUGGGGGACAACAUCUCGAAAGGGAUGCUAAUACCGCAUACGUCCUACGGGAGAAAGCAGGGGAUCACUUGUGACCUUGCGCUAAUAGAUGAGCCUAAGUCGGAUUGGCUAGUUGGUGGCGUAAAGGCCUACCAAGGCGACGAUCUGUAGCGGGUCUGAGAGGAUGAUCCGCCACACGAGGACUGAGACACGGCCCAGACUCCUACGGGGGGCAGCAGUGGGGAAUAUUGGACGAUGGGGGGAACCCUGAUCCAGCCAUGCCGCGUGUGUGAAGAAGGCCUUAUGGUUGUAAAGCACUUUAAGCGAGGAGGAGGCUCUUUUGGUUAAUACCCAAGAUGAGUGGACGUUACUCGCAGAAUAAGCACCGGCUAACUCUGUGCCAGCAGCCGCCGUAA